UUGCAGAGAGUGGGAGGCAUACAUCACC
This 28-nucleotide non-coding RNA is filed under the name Homo sapiens (human). Lineage: Eukaryota; Metazoa; Chordata; Mammalia; Primates; Hominidae. The record is from RNAcentral.